GAUGAACGCUGGCGGCGUGCCUAAUACAUGCAAGUCGAGCGAACGGACGAGAAGCUUGCUUCUCUGAUGUUAGCGGCGGACGGGUGAGUAACACGUGGAUAACCUACCUAUAAGACUGGGAUAACUUCGGGAAACCGGAGCUAAUACCGGAUGAUAUUUUGAACCGCAUGGUUCAAAAGUGAAAGACGGUCUUGCUGUCACUUAUAGAUGGAUCCGCGCUGCAUUAGCUAGUUGGUAAGGUAACGGCUUACCAAGGCAACGAUGCAUAGCCGGCCUGAGAGGGUGAUCGGCCACACUGGAACUGAGACACGGUCCAGACUCCUACGGGAGGCAGCAGUAGGGAAUCUUCCGCAAUGGGCGAGAGCCUGACGGAGCAACGCCGCGUGAGUGAUGAAGGUCUUCGGAUCGUAAAACUCUGUUAUUAGGGAAGAACAUAUGUGUAAGUAACUGUGCACAUCUUGACGGUACCUAAUCAGAAAGCCACGGCUAACUACGUG
This 497-nucleotide ribosomal RNA is filed under the name uncultured bacterium. Its description in RNAcentral is "partial 16S ribosomal RNA". It matches the Rfam family "Bacterial small subunit ribosomal RNA", at positions 28 to 507 of the family's 1533-position model. The record is from RNAcentral.